CGUAUGGUCUGGCCACCCUCAAGAUCAAUGUUAGCUCAACCAAACAAAGAAUGAAACGACCAAACCGGAUGGGGUAACCCUCAAGAUCAUUGAUGUGGCUCAACAUGACAUAGAAUGAAUAGAGACCAACUCAUCUUUAUUCCAGCUGGCUGGUUGACUUUACAUCCUCUUCCUCAAGGUCAAAUUCUUGUUCCACGCCCUUCACCUCAGGUACAUAAUGCAUUAACAUAUUUUCAAUGCCAGAUUUUAGAGUGACGGAUGAGCUUGGGCAGCCACUGCAUGCUCCUUGCAUUCUCAAUGUGACAAUACCAG
RNAcentral lists this unclassified non-coding RNA (312 nucleotides) under Hevea brasiliensis (rubber tree). Lineage: Eukaryota; Viridiplantae; Streptophyta; Magnoliopsida; Malpighiales; Euphorbiaceae. The record is from RNAcentral.